This 468-nucleotide ribosomal RNA is filed under the name uncultured bacterium. Its description in RNAcentral is "partial 16S ribosomal RNA". It matches the Rfam family "Bacterial small subunit ribosomal RNA", at positions 28 to 507 of the family's 1533-position model. The record is from RNAcentral.
GACGAACGCUGGCGGCGUGCUUAACACAUGCAAGUCGAACGGAAAGGCCCUGCUUUUGUGGGGUGCUCGAGUGGCGAACGGGUGAGUAACACGUGAGUAACCUGCCCUUGAAUUUGGGGUAACUUCAGGAAACUGGGGCUAAUACCGGAUAGGAGCUCAUGCUGCAUGGUGGGGGUUGGAAGGUUUCGGCGGUUGGGGCUGGACUCGCGGCUUAUCAGCUUGUUGGUGGGGUAGCGGCUUACCAAGGCUUUGACGGGUGGCCGGCCUGAGAGGGUGACCGGCCACAUUGGGACUGAGAUACGGCCCAGACUCCUACGGGAGGCAGCAGUGGGGAAUAUUGCACAAUGGGCGGAAGCCUGAUGCAGCAACGCCGCGUGCGGGAUGACGGCCUUCGGGUUGUAAACCGCUUUCGCCUGUGACGAAGCGUGAGUGACGGUAAUGGGUAAAGAAGCACCGGCUAACUACGUG